UGCGCAGGCGGAAUAUUAAGUCAGUGGUGAAAUCCUACAGCUCAACUGUAGAACUGCCAUUGAUACUGAUAUUCUUGAGUAUAGUUGUAGUGGGCGGAAUAUGUCAUGUAGCGGUGAAAUGCUUAGAUAUGACAUAGAACACCGAUCGCGAAGGCAGCUCACUAAACUAUAACUGACGCUCAGGCACGAAAGCGUGGGGAGCAAACAGGAUUAGAUACCCUGGUAGUC
This 228-nucleotide ribosomal RNA is filed under the name uncultured bacterium. RNAcentral's name for it is "partial 16S ribosomal RNA". It matches the Rfam family "Bacterial small subunit ribosomal RNA", at positions 568 to 795 of the family's 1533-position model. The record is from RNAcentral.